This 292-nucleotide long non-coding RNA is filed under the name Homo sapiens (human). RNAcentral's name for it is "HSALNT0345619". The record is from RNAcentral. Lineage: Eukaryota; Metazoa; Chordata; Mammalia; Primates; Hominidae.
ACUUCCAAGGCACAGGCACUGUCUGUCCUGAGCACCUCAUUUCAGGCUCCAAGCUCAGGAAACGCUCGCUCGCUACUGGAGGAAUGUUACAUCUUGAAGCAGCCUUGGCUCUGUCUGGGGAGGAUGACGUCACAGCUGCUGAGGAAGAAACCACGCCCAGCCGGCAGAACCCCAGAGGGCCCACCCGAGAGCUCCAAAGAAGUAGGAGGAACCAGAGGUCACAUCGCUCAGGAGGAAGAAACCUGCAUUGGCCAAGAGAGGCAUCCUACAGAGAGGCCCAGUGAUGGCUAUA